Molecule: ribosomal RNA, 429 nt
Filed under: Gemmatimonadota bacterium
Lineage: Bacteria; Pseudomonadati; Gemmatimonadota
Description: Gemmatimonadetes bacterium partial 16S ribosomal RNA
Rfam family: Bacterial small subunit ribosomal RNA
Source: RNAcentral
UAGGGAAUCUUCGGCAAUGGACGAAAGUCUGACCGAGCAACGCCGCGUGAGUGAAGAAGGUUUUCGGAUCGUAAAACUCUGUUGUUAGAGAAGAACAAUGACGUUAGUAACUGAACGUCCCCUGACGGUAUCUAACCAGAAAGCCACGGCUAACUACGUGCCAGCAGCCGCGGUAAUACGUAGGUGGCAAGCGUUGUCCGGAUUUAUUGGGCGUAAAGCGAGCGCAGGCGGGUUCUUAAGUCUGAUGUGAAAGCCCCCGGCUCAACCGGGGAGGGUCAUUGGAAACUGGGAGACUUGAGUGAAGAAGAGGGGAGUGGAAUUACAUGUGUAGCGGUGAAAUGCGUAGAUAUAUGGAGGAACACCAGUGGCGAAGGCAGCUCUCUGGUCUGUAACUGACGCUGAGGAUCGAAAGAGUGGGGAGCAAACAGG